GACGAACGCUGGCGGCGUGCUUAACACAUGCAAGUCGAACGGUGAAGGGACCGGUUUUUGCUGGUUCUGGAUGAGUGGCGAACGGGUGAGUAACACGUGAGUAACCUGCCCCCUUCUUCCGGAUAACCGCAUGAAAGUGUGGCUAAUACGGGAUAUUCUGCGCCUGCUGCAUGGUGGGUGUGGGAAAGAUAUUGUUUCGGUGGGGGAUGGGCUCGCGGCCUAUCAGCUUGUUGGUGGGGUGAUGGCCUACCAAGGCGGUGACGGGUAGCCGGCCUGAGAGGGUGGACGGUCACACUGGGACUGAGACACGGCCCAGACUCCUACGGGAGGCAGCAGUGGGGAAUAUUGCACAAUGGGCGCAAGCCUGAUGCAGCGACGCCGCGUGAGGGAUGGAGGCCUUCGGGUUGUAAACCUCUUUCGCCAGUGAAGCAGGCCUGUCCCUUUUGUGGGUGGGUUGACGGUAGCUGGAUAAGAAGCGCCGGCUAACUACGUG
This 493-nucleotide ribosomal RNA is filed under the name uncultured bacterium. Its description in RNAcentral is "partial 16S ribosomal RNA". It matches the Rfam family "Bacterial small subunit ribosomal RNA", at positions 28 to 507 of the family's 1533-position model. The record is from RNAcentral.